UAAUUCUGGUUUAAUUGAACAUCAGCAACUAUGUUAAGUGGUUAACAAAUAUUUUAGCUUCAAUUUCUCGGGUAAACACUUUCCGAUUUAACUCCUGAUCAUUAAUUGACAGAAAACUCUGAAUCGGUUCUAUAUUCAGAGUUUUAACGAUAUGUGAUUUUAAAGAGUUUUACUUUGCUGAAAGGUAUAUAAUGCCCAAAUCGACGUGAUUCAACCGAUAAAACGCGAUUUUAAGUUCACAAAUAAAUAAUUGUUUUUUUCUUUUUGUUAAAAAUAUUCAUGAGUGCGAAUUGGACCACCUGCUCAAAAUUGUUUGUAGACUGCAAAAUUCAGUCUAAUCGUUUUAAGGACUUCCACGGGGCUUUCUUUGCCAGAUUCAGCAAAAUCUGCAGCGCACAAGGACAAAAACAAAUCAAUAACUUUGGCACCUAGUUGACCCACGUAUCCUUGGUUAUUCCAUACCAUGGAUAUAGUCCUAGUGAGCCUACAGGACCGACUUCUAGCGAUGCACAAGAAUAUGGUCCAAAAAUAUGUAUGCUCUUUCUUUCAGCUGCCCCCACCAAAUUUCCCGCCCCCUUGAUGGUUCCUAGUUGACUGCCAUAUCCUUGGUUAUACCAUACCAUCGAUAUAGUCCUUGGCAACCUAAAGGAUCAGAUCCCUGCAAAAUUUGCUUCGAACUGGUCCAAAAACAUGUAUGCUUUCCUUUUAGCAGCCCCUGUACAUGAGUAGCAGUUGCAGCUGCUAAUUAACAGCCGACUUUAAAUCACUCGAUUAACAUUAACU
Long non-coding RNA from Drosophila novamexicana, 783 nucleotides. RefSeq lists it as uncharacterized. The transcript has 3 exons. The record is from RefSeq and is a predicted model, not a curated record. Lineage: Eukaryota; Metazoa; Arthropoda; Insecta; Diptera; Drosophilidae.